UUUUUUUUUGUGUUGUGUGGUUGGUUGGUUCAAGUUGGGGUAUCUCAGUUGCGAGAGUUGCUAAUAAUAGAUGUGAUGUUCCUCGAAAGAAAAUAGAUGUGAUGACCUUUCUUCUGUAGAAUUUUGCAUUUUAUUUUUAGAAAUAAAAGGUGGAGAAGUUGGCGUGAUGCACACAUGUCCGAUGAUGAUAGACGAUCGUUUUAUUUGGGGGAGAGUUUUUAUUGCCUUUGAGUAGAACCAUCGUGUGCUAUAUAUGCAAAACAAAGUCUUUAGGAAGUGAUUUGUAUCACGGAUUUGAAUUGUAUGCCCAAUACUAUGUUGUGUAGCCUUCCUUUGUCAUUUCGAUUAUAAGCAAAAUAAUAUAUCACACUCUGCAUUUGUUGGUUUCCGCUUUAAAAACAAGGACAAUUCAAAAAUGGCAGAACGGUUCGUAGAGCACACAACAGGUUUAUUUAUAAAAAAUGCAUUGAUAGAUGAGAGGUUCCUAUUGCGUAUCUAACUACCUGUUGGUGCCAACUAAUUAGAUGCUUUACUUUUAAAAUUAUACGAAAGCUCAUACAUAAAGGAGCAGCAUGUCGAUCGACCUUUGUGACUGUUACAUUCAUCUUAUUUAUCCUGCCACCUGUUUGAGUCGUUGACAUUUUUGGCUACUUUUCUAUAGCCCAAACAAAAGUCAGAUGAAAGCAUCUGCUGUUUAUUUAGUUGCUGGUGGAAAUUAAUGGCUGCAUGCUCUGUUCAUUCAAUUAGAUAGAUCGAUGCAAUAUUGUAGAUUCUCUGAAGUCUGCUCUAGCUUCUUUAACAUGCAUUACAGUCUUCUUUGCUGAUUUGGAGUUAGCCUGUUGGUGGUCCAAUAUAUUCCAAUAGAAAGUGCUCAGGAAAAAGAGAACUGCAUAUUCACUUUAUCUCUUCAAUGUACAGAACUGAGUGAACCAUGUAAAUUUUUAAUUAUUGCUCAAAAACUUGGUAUGCUAGGCUUAAUGCGACACCGGCCUUGUUCUGUCAUUCUGUACAAAUUGUAUUUAAGCAGUAGAUUUCUUUUCUGGCUUCUACUGUUUUUAUUAAGAUAACAAGUUCCUGCUUCUACUACCUGCUGGAUUAGUUAGCUUUUUUUCUUUUGUUGAUGCAUAGCCUAAAUAAAAGAUGGAUUAAGGCAUUUUUGUCUAAGAAAUUGUGAUGCUUACCAUGCUCAUUCAGAAUGCAUAUCUUCGUGAGGAGCCCCACCGGCAGAACAAUCCGCCUCCGGGUCCAACCAUCAGAUACCUUGCGUACCGUUAAGGCGAAGAUUCUCGAACAGCACCGCCUUGUCUUUGAUGGAGAGCAGCUAGAUGAAAACCUUACAUUGGCUGAUUAUGACAUCCAGCAUCAAUCCACGCUUGACCUCCAAGAAAAGAUGCAAAUCUAUGUAAUGGAGACGCUAAAAGGCAAGACCAUCACACUCGAGGUUGACAACUUAGAUACUAUUGACAACGUGAAGAGCAGGAUUGAAUAUACCGAGGGAUUUCCCAAGGGUCAGCAGUGCCUCAUCUUCGACAACAAACAGUUGGACGACAGCAGCACCUUGGCGGACCACAACAUUUGGAAGGAGUCCACCGUUCUCCUUGUCCUCCACCCAUUUCCAAGAGGUACGAUGCAGAUCUUUGCGAAGACGCUGUACGGAACAACCAUCCCUCUUGAGGUUGAGAGCUCAGAUACAAAUGCUGUCAAGCUGAAGAUCUACGAGAAGGAUGGCACUCGCCCCAAACAGCAUCGCCUCAUCUUUGUUGGCAGACAAAUGGAGGGCAGCCGCACCCUGGCAGACUAUAACAUCCAGCACCAAUCUACCAUCCAUGUGGUGCUCUGCCUUUGCGGUUGUUGAGAUAUUUAUAAUGAUCGCUGAAAAGUACACGAUCUUGUGCUUAAUCGUUUUUCUUUCUUCCUGGCGCUUCGUCGCUCAUAAAGACUUCCUCUUUAUCAUGGCACAAUCUCAUGCGGGUUUGUUAAAAAAAAAUCGCUGAAGACAGAUCUGGUUCUGGUGCAGCCUUGCAGGCCAUAAAACUUAUUUGGUUUCAUCUGCUGAUGCUUGCUAUGAUCCUGUAAUAAUGUGUUUAUCAUAAUGCACAGUGUUCCCUGCAUUACAAAUUUGUACUUAAUUUUCUUGCUUUGUCCUUAAAAUUACUCUUUUCCUUUAUUUUCUGCAAGAUGUGUAAUUUAUAUCUACAAGAUUUUGAAAUAGAUGAAACUUCUCGGAAAUAAUUUGUAAUUUUCAUUUAUAUUUUCAUUGAUUACUGGAGAUGGAUCUGGUGCACACGAUAAAAAUUUAUAUGUUCCAUAUGCUGAUGGCUGAUGCGGGUUGUAAAGAGCAACUCCAAGAGUUCCCCAAAAAAUUCUUCCCAAAAUGAGAUAUUGGGAGCUAUGCUAAAAAAUUUUUCCCCAAAAAACAUAUUAGCCCACAGCAGAUCGCUAAAAACUACUCCCCAAUAAUUUAAAAGAGGCCACGUCAUCGCAUUAGGCCCAUUAGUAUCCGUUGAUUUUUACCGUGUCCAGAGCCCAUCAAAAAUACUCCUCCGUACCCUAUCACGCCACCUGCCCGUGCGCCAGAGGUCUCACGCCGCCACCCCCGCGCACGGUGGACUUCAGCAGCCCCUGCACGGCAUUCCUUGCCGGCAUCAUCCUCCGUGCACUGCGCGGAUCAAAGUAAUGAUUACUGCCUAGCAUCAUUUUCAUUUUGUUUUUUUGUUGCGAUCAGCUUUGACAUGUGAGGAUUCUGUCGUAAUGUGUUUUUAUGUGGCUGUCAAUACCUAGGAAAAACAGUUCCUUCGAUCUCCAACUAUAAUUGGAGACAGGUAAAAAGGAAUUGCUAUGAAUCGAAGCCUUUCGAUGCAUCUAGUGUUGGAUUCGUCGUCAGAUGAUGACGAUGAUGAUUUCUUAAUCUCUGUUACUCAUGUGACCGUGAAUGCGAAUGAGUCCGAUGAUGAAACAAAACAUCGUGGUUCUAUCAUAGGUCAUCGAGUACUUCAGCGAGACAGACAGGCAGGGCAUCAAACAUGAUAGUAAUUAAGUACUAGACAUAGAUAGUCGACUCAUGAUCUCAGCGCGCAAGGACAUGUAGUAUUUCUUUUGCUCAUCUGGCAUGGCGGUAAGAUCCAUGGUCAUAAUCCUCUCUUCAUCCCUCCUUUUUUGCAAUUGGACCUCCUGGCUCCUCAACUCAAGAAGUAGUUUUUCAUUUGCAACUCGAUCCUGUUCAAGAGCAACUCGUUCUUGUUCAAGAGCGAAAGCUUUGUUGAACCUCUCCUCUUUUUUUAGCUCUUUCUCCCCAUCAGUUUCUUUCUUCUGUGCCCACAUAUUUUCUAAGGUUGUUGUCACACUUUUUUUCUUCUCUUGCAGCAGUGCUAGUUUUGCCUUCUUCUUACCAAUCGGCCUUGUCAAUGCAUUAUCCUCUAGACCUUGAACCUCACCUUGUCCUAUUUCACUUGGUGAACUUGCAUUCGGGUCAACAGUUGAGCUUGUCUUCUGCUUCUUGUUAGAUGUUUUACCAACAGCCAAUUCAUCAAUUUUAGAAAGCCAUUUUGGUUGUGUUCUCAGCUUAUUCCAGCAAUGCAUGAACUGGAAUGCUUUCUGAUGUUCGUCUUCAGACUUGUACAAAGCACAUGCCUCUGCAACCUACAAGCACCACCAUACAAGAAAUAUUCAUAUACGAUAUAUAAAAAUAAAAUAGUUGAAACAAAUCGUGGUAUUGCAUAGUAAGUACCUUGUCUUUCAUUGUACUACCACUCUGACGCCUUAACUCAAUUCGUGCUAGACAUCCACAAAACUUGUUCACACAUUUUUGUAUGGUCUCCCACCGGUGCAUGAGAGAAUUUAUGGUACGCUUUGAGGUGCACGUCUUGUGUUCAUGGAAGUAAUCACAGAUACGAGACCAAUACUUGGCACCUUUUUGAUCUUUGCCUACGACCGGAUCCAAGCUUACAUUCAACCAUGCUGAAACCAAAACCUCAUCUUCGUGGUCACUGAAGUUCUUUGAUCUCUUAUGGUUCGGCCUUGCGGAGGGGGCUGCUGGACCAACUUCAAUUGCUUGGGAUUGUUGGUCACCACAUGUGUUGCUAUAAUAAUGAGAAUCCCCUAAAUUGGUUUCAUCCAUCAUCAUGUUGGAAAAAUAUCCGUUUCCUGCCCAGUAGGUAGAAAAUAAACAUCAAGUGGUAUAUGGAGGCUACACAUAUAAAAACUUGCUCAAGUGGCAUAUUUUAUCAUGCCAACAAGAUGGUGACUACAUGCUAGGAGCCAACUAGUCAGCUAGCUAAGUCCCUAAAGUGAAGGGAAUAUGAGCCAACUAGUCAGGAUCACAGCUGAUUUUAGUAUUUAUAACUCAUCUUAUGAGAAGCAAUGAAACUGUUCCUUGUUCCUACUUCCACUUAACCACAUACCCUUUAGUUUUGCUUCACAGCAUAGAACCAAGUUUCUUUUCAAAGUAAUACAGUUCAUUCACAUGCCUGCAGCUCAAUUAUGAAGUCGACAGUACAAAGCUUGUACAGAACAAGAAUUACAAGGAACAAGGCCCCCAUCGGCGCCAACGCUAUCAUCCACAUGUGCACAGGCUAUACAUUGGCCAUGGAGCAGUAGUAGAAGCAGAACAAGGAACAGAGAGGGAGAUGUCGUUGUUAGCUUGCUUUAAUUUUUAGCUAAGCCAAGUUCGUUAGCUGGAUGAGAUUAGCAGGCUUUAAUUUUUAGCUAAGCCAAGCUACUGCACUGAAUUGAAUAGAUCAAGAUACUAACUAGCUACAGGCCAACGCAAGCAUGCAAAGACUAAAAAGUCUACUGUUGCCGGACAGAGACAUUUCACAUGAAUUCAACCGAGCUGAGAUGCUGACCCUUCAGACAAAUAGAAAUAGCAACAGUGCAACUAGCAAGCAAAUGAGAACACUUGGUUGUGAGCUAAUCAGAUCUGAGAAACAAAGCCAAGCUGGUGGCCACACAAUUAAUUGAAAACUGAACAAAUAACAACAGUUGCUACUGUACUGAAUCGAACUGCCUGAAGCUCUGAAGAAAAGCAAUAUGAUAAUACAAGCUAAGGUUAGUUGCCACAUUAUCUUCAAUCAAUGCAAAAUCCUUCUAUAGGCAAAACAAAGCCACUUAGAAUUGACUACACAGCACAAGAAAUCUAUCUUAUCUCACGGGGAAUUGAGUUAAAGAGCUUAUGAUUCAUACCAUUCACAAAUGGGUUGCCGUUGGCCGCUUGUUCGAAAGCACCAGAAGGGCCGCCGCUGGAUGGGUACGGCACCGUCGAUAGGGAGUCCAAAUCAUCACUGGUAAGAGCUACAAUCGGAGGACCUUGCAGAUCACCACACAUGUCACCACUACCAGGCAGGUCGAGGUCGUCGCUGCUGGACCUCUCCAAAUUUCUGCUGCUGCUGUUCCAUUGAGGGAUGUGGUCGCCGCCGACGAGCACCACACGCCGUUGAAGCAUCCCUCCACUGCGCCUUACUUGGCCCUGCCGUGGUGCCUGCAUCUGCACAGGCAACAAAGAGUUCAGGCACGUCCAAGCGAAGAUAUGCAGAACAAUAUCAGCAAUGCAAGUUAGCUCUGUUCCACAACACCAUUGUAAUAUAUUAGUUGUAUUAUGGUUCCAUCUAAUAAAAUAAAGUAAGUUCAUUGUUGAUAUGAAAUAUUCUUAACUUAUAUGGCCUUCAGUUUAGACAAAAAAGAGCAGUAAAUUGUUUACACCAGUCACCUUCUUACACCAGUCAUCUCAAUAUCAUCAUAGUAAUUACUUUAUAACACCAAUGCAUUAUCUGAAUGAUAGUGCACCAAUUUCUAUUGCUGAAUUCAACGGCAUAAGGAAAAACAAAGACUCAGUCAGCUAUCCCUUAUUGAUAGGUUUUAGACUACUUCUAAGUUCAGUUAGAUAUGACACAUAGAUGUAAGUUAACAAAAGUUCAAUAUAAAUAUAGUUCUGUUGCUAAUUUCAUAAGUAGUGUUCGAGAUCACAAGGCUAGAAUGUCUUGUGCUCAACACUAGUGAACACCACUGUCUAGGUAUCUGUUGCUUGCUAAGUUCAGCAGCAGAAGCAAAACAACAGUUCAGUCACUUAUAAGCAAAGAUCACGCUGAACAGUGAAGAUAAUGCAAGUUAGUUCUGUUCCCACGACUCAUGGUACUCCAGAUCUGGAAUGAGGGGUUUACCCUGAGGCGCUCGGAGAGGACGGAGGGGGUGAUUAGCUUGUACUUGGGCGCCUCGGAGAGCAGCUUGUCGUAGGUGGCCUGGUCGAACAGCACCGAGUUCUUCACCUUCUCCUUUUGCUUUCCCUUGCUCCACUUCUGCAAAAACAAAUAAGCGCAUCCACCAUUAGAACCCCAGAGAUGGCAGCAGCCCUGACUGUACGAAGAGACGAGCGAGUCGGAGAGACAGCCGCACCUUCUUCUUUUGCUUGCCACCGCCGCCUGGAACCCGGACUCUUGCGCAGGGGAGGAGAGGAGCGUACCGCCACCCAACGCUCGCCGUCCACCGGGAUGCCGCCCCGACCUGCCGCCGCCUGGCCCUCGCCGUCCACCGGGACGCUGCCGCGGGCCGCCGCCGCCGCGUAGCGCUCGUCGUCCACCCGGCCGACGCCCCUCACCCCGCUGCUCUCCUCGCCGCCGCCGCUACGCGCGCGGGAAGAGGCCGCACGGGGAAGGAAUAUCUGCUCGCGCGCGCGGGAACGGGUGGGCUCACGCGCGGGAAUCGCGAUUGGGGGAGAAACGGGAACGCUAAAAUAUACAUGGUGGUAGGUUGUUUUUUAGCGUUGCUAAAAAAUUAGGGAAGGUUUAGGUGUACUGUUGGAGUUUGUUUUUUCUCUUUUUUCCCCAAAAAAAGUAUUAGGGGGUAAGAUUAGCAGUCUCUUGGAGUUGCUCUAAUAUCCUUUAUCCUGCUUCCUUUUUUUAACCAUGCCAGGAUAGAUUUUGGCUCACAACUGUUGUACACCCACAAAACAUAAGCAAAAUGCAUCAUUUGCUUCAAAAUUUCUAGGACUUCUGGACCUACCAUCACAAUUCAAGUUAGCGAAUGAAUCGGCACCGAGUUCUUCCGGACGACUUUUCAUGCGUAAUUAGUCUGUAUAGUACAUUAGGAGAAAAAAAGGAUGGACAUUGGAAUAAUAACACGUGGCUGUCAUGGAGACUACGCAGAGAGAGAGAGAGAGUAGAAUUUAAUUGGAAAUUUCUUGUGAAAGCUAUGGCAAUAACCUGUAUAGCAACUGACAGGCGUUCAACUAAGAGGGCUGGAUCGAAAUGCAUGGACAAUGAUGGUUUAGUUUACUCAUUGUUGGAUCCAUGAGCUGAAGUUUAGUUCGGAUCGCAUCAGAUAUUGGAUGCUAAUUAGGAGUAUUAAAUCUAGACUAAUGAUAAAAAUAAUUGCAUAAAUGAGGGCUAAUUCACAAGACGAAUCUAUUAAGCCUAAUUAAUCCAUAAUUAGCAUAGCUUCCUUGCCAUCCCACCUACACACCACAUCUAUCUAUAUAGGGGAUGCUAUCCUUUUGUAUUAACUCAUGAAAGACCCUUUAAUCCGGGUUGGUAAUACCAACCGGGAUUAAAGACCUCAUUUAAUCCCGGUUGGUAAUACCAACCGGGAUAAAAAGGUUCGAGGGAUUUAGUCCUUUCCCAGCCACACAUGGGGGAACCUUUUUAUCCCGGUUGGAAAUACCAACCAGGAUAAAAAGGGUCCGAGGACUUUAUUCUUUUUCAGCCACCCGUAGGGGACCCUUUUAUCCCGGUUAGAGUUUCCAACCGGGAUUAAAGGAUCCCCUUUUAUCCCGAUUGCUUUAGUCCCAGGUGGUAAUACCAACCGGGACUAAAGGGUGACCUUUUAGUCCCGGUUGAUCUUACCAACCCGGACUAAACGGUCCCCCACGUGUGCCUGGAUUUUUCAACCGGGACUAAAGGAUUCCCACGGAUGGCUGAUUUUUGAACCGGGACUAAAAGGUCCUUUUAGUCCCGAUUGCAAAUACCAACCGAGAGUAACUUGUAGCGCACCCCUUUUCUCCCGAGCUGAAAUUAAACCGAAACUAAAGAGGUGGUAUCUAAAGUCAGUUCUAACAUUAUAACACUUUGACGGUGGUGUAGCGUACGACGCCGCGCUAGAGCCGCUGGAAGCAAUCAUGCGAGCUGACUGAGGACGUCAUAGUCGGUGUCGAGUUAAGGAUGAAGUUUAUCGCAGACGCUGGAGCCGCGCAGGACCUCGCAGAUCAACAGUCAUCUGUCAGGGCACGAUCAACAGUCUAAACAACUGUCAUCUGUAAGUGUUUUGAAAAUCACACAUAGAGUGUUUUAACAGACAUCUUUAUACAAUGACUUGUCUAUUAUCUGUAGAUCAUUUAAUUCGUAAAGGGCACAUAGUUUAUGGUGAUGAAGUUCAUCUUUGUAGCUAUUUUGUUGCUUGUUUUGAUCUUAAAUUUCUUGUUGAGAUACAAAUAUAAUAUAAUUUUUGUUAAUAGAUAGAAUGAUAUUAUGAUUCACUAAAGUACAAAAUACAUAAUAUAAAUCGUAUGUUUUUACAUAAAAUGAUGGAUUCGAAGACUAACAUUCAAAAACAUUUGACAUUCAGAACUCUGGCCUGGAGGCCACGCGUGCUCUUGCUUAUACCAGUUAUCAUGCCGUUCAGCCAGCAAAGCAUGUUCAUUGUAUACCUUUUCCUCUCUCACCUUAUCCUUUCACAUGAGCCCAAGCCCACCCGUCUUCUCUGUUUCUAAUCUCUCUCUCUACCUCGUGUGCUUGGCUCGCUGUGCAUCGUGAUCUUGCUUGGGAACAAACUUUGCGCUGCUUCCCCUCACACAUAUAUAUGAGCCACAGGCUCUCGCUCGACGGACAGGUGGCUCUCGCUCACACAUAUGCUUCCCCUGUAUCUCCCGCUCUUUCACAGUCGCCCUUUGCACUCGAGUCAGCGUGAUGUGGAUGACAGAGCGGCCCGACGAGGUUGCCUAGGUGGGGUGCGGCGGGGUGCUGCCGGCGAAGGUCGGCUCAGCUCGAUGCAUCUAUCGGUGCAUGGCAGCGCGGCGUGGUGCGGGAGGAAGGGUGCGGCGGGUUGUUACCGGCGAGGCGAGGCUCAAUGCUUCCAUUGGUGGUAGCGCAGCACGGAUUUGUCUAAUUUCACAGUGGAUUCCGAGCCGUCGGCCACCGCUCAUACAACAAGCAUGAGGUUGUCCGCAGCGCGUCGGAGCACGAGCCGCGCCGUCGUCUUGCGUCCCUCUCUCUCCUUUACCACUGAUCCGCGUCAACAAAACAAGCCUACGUGGCAUCAUAUAAAAAUGGCAUUAAUUGCCUUUGUACGUGCCUUAGGCCUCCUCUGGCAUGGGCCUCCGGCCGCAGGGGCGGGCCCACUUAUAUUCAAUGGUAUUGAGUUGAAUAUUCAUUAUUUUUGAAAAAAAGUUCAUGUAUAUAGUGUAUUCUAGUUAUAUGUAUGGAAAAAGCAAAAAUAAAGAAGCUAACACAGUGAAACAAAAUAAAAAGGCCUACCGGCGGACAUCUUCCCUCUCGGGCUCUCCCUGGCCCAAUUUGCCACUCGGCCCACUCGGCCUCUCUAAUCAGCCAGGCCACGCACAACAGAGGGCACAGGCACCAGUGCACAGCACGCACAAACCACACAUCCUGACAUCCACAUCCAGGCGCCUCUGCUUCAACCCUAGCCGGCGGUGGCCGGCGGGGAGGGUGGAGCUCGGCGAUGGGGAGGGGGAGGGUGGAGCGCCGGAGCUCGAGGCUUGCGCCGCUGCGCGGAGCUGCGGCGGCGGCACCGCGGAAGCCGCGCCACCUACUGGACGUGGACGGCCGGGCGCCGGGCGGCCGGCGCUACUGGACGGCCGGCGGGCGGCGCCGCGGCGGCGCGCUCCGUUGCGACCCGCAUGGCCUCCGUGUGGCACGUGACCGCGUCCCCGACUCCCCGUGAUCCGUCCCCGACCGCGUGGCCUGCUUGAUUAGAGAGACCUGAUUCCUUUAAUUGUUUGUGAAAUUGUCAAAUUGAGGUUAGCAUGUAGCAUAUAAUUUUUCUCUGUUGUGAGCGAAGCAGCAUCCUGUGCACUUUUGUGAUCAUUCAUGUCUACUAGCAAACAUGUUGACCAUUUAGGCCUACCUUUUCCAUUAUCGUUGUGACUAGGCAGCUAGUAGCACAUUGAUGUUUCUUGCAGGCUAAAAACUGUUAUCAAAUACUAAUCUUCGAGAAUCUGUUGUCAUUAAUAAUUCCUCAACUGAAACCAAUGGGUCGCCCAACAUUUUGAAAGGGCUGGGCAGCUGGCAAUCAGGUGUUCUAUGCAGAACUGCAGCUAAUGUAUGCCCUGUUUUCUAUAUUGUAUAUCAUUAGCUGUGAGAUCUAAUUAAAAAAAUUGAAAAGCUACAAUUGAAAGGUUAAGAAGAUUAGCUGUGUGAUAUAUAGUCAUAGAAAAUAUGGGUUUACACCAACACAUUUUGAUUUAGAUCUGCCAGAUAUGUUUCAUAUUGUGUGCCUAAUGUUCUGCUAAUGUUGAUAGCAAAGCACUCUCAUUUUGAUUACCAUUUUGUUGUUUUAUCCUCUAUUUAUUUCACAUGUUGCCACUUUGAUAUGUUGACCAUUAGUAGCUGGACAAUUUCAAGUUGUGAUCAAUUUAUUAAUCAAUGAUGGUACCACUUAAUUCUGUGUUAUAAAUCUAUAAUUUAGGCUGUCAAUUUUUUUUUUCUUGCCAUCUGCAAUUUUAAAUACCCAUGAUCCAAAUCCUGCGCCCGCCUCUGCCUUGCACAAACGUCACAAACUGGGCCUCGUCCGUCGGAGCCAAUGUCGAGGCUCCAAAAUCUGAGACUUUGACGGUGUAGUCGUCGUCGAUGAGUAUGUUUGCCGAUUUCACGUCGCCGUGGAUGAUCGGCGGCGAGGCCCAGGAGCGCAGGUAAGCGAGGGCUUCCGUGGCCUCGUGCGCGAUCUUCAGGCGCGUCGCGAAAGAGCCGCGUGGCCCGUGGUUGUGACGGCCGUGGAGAGCGUGCCGUUGGGGAUGAACUCGUAGACGAGCAUGGGCACCUCCACCUCGAGGCAGCAGCCGCAGAGCUUGACGACGUUCCUGUGGUUGAUCUGGGAAAGUAUGAGCAUCUCCUUCCCGAACUCCUCCUCCUGCCUCUCGCUGAUCUGCCUUGUAGACGGUGCCAUUCCCUCCCUUGCCCAGCACAUUUCGCUCGUUGAAAUUAUCAGUUGCCUCUUCAAGCUCUGCUUUGGUGAACAAAGUGAAGGAAAUCCCCUGUUUUGAUUUCAUUUCCUCCAACAGCAAGAGGCCUCCGUGCUGCUUGAAGUACCUCUUCUUCACAGCGGCAAGGCUCCUCUUCCGGUGGAACAGGUAGGCUCCAGACAGGUAAUUACCAGCUAGCCUGCUAAUUUGAUUGUAAUCCAGCUCUAAUCCACACCAAUCCACGUCAAGUUAAUUUAUUUUUUCAACCCAACUCAUUCUAUAUUUAUAUUAUCUAAACUUAAGCCAAUUCAUCCUACUAGUUGAUAGAACCAUAGGUUUGCUAUAAAAAAAAUCAUGGUUUGCUAUAUAAAUCUAUGGGCUCAUAUAAAAAACUUGUAUAUAUUUGAAAUAAAUGUGUGUCCGACAUGUGGGUCCUACGUCAAGAGCUGAACUCUAAAACUAAAACAUCGUGUUCACACCUUAAAAUUUUAACGAAAUUGAUCGAAAUUUAUUGGAGUUGACAGAGUUUGACUGCCCGCUACUUUGUGCUAAAUAGUAUGGCUAAACAUACAUUUAGGCCCCGUAUUAAGAGCCGGACCCUAGAAUUAAAACCUCACGUUCACACCUUAAAAUUUUAACGAAAUUCAUCAAAAUUUAUUGGAGAUGACUCAAUUUGACUGUCCACUACUUUGUGUAAAAUAGUAUGACUAAACAUACAUAUGGGUCCCGCGUCAAGAGCCGGACCAUAGAAUUAAAAUCUCGUGUUCACACUUUAAAAUUUUAGCGAAAUUGAUCAAAAUUUAUUGGAGAUGACUUAGUUUAAGUGUCCGCUACUUUGUGCAAAAUAGUAUAGCUGGGCAUAUUUAUGGGCCCCACGUCAAGAGUCGGACCAAACUACAACCUCCCUUUCACACUUUAAAAUUUUAACGAAAUUGAUUGAAAUUUGUUUCACACUUUAAAAUUUUAACAAAAUUGAUUGAAAUUUGUUGGAGAUGAUUUAGUUUAAUAAUUAGCUACUUCAUACGAAAAAGUAUAGUUAGACUUAUAUGUGGGCCCACAUUAAGAAUCGGAUCCUUAAAUUGUUUGGUGAAUCAAAUCAAUGCAACCCACUCUAAACCACUCCCAAACUAUUUCCUCCUAGGAGGAACCCAAACCAAACCAAACCAUUUGAUGAAUCAGCAUAUUAAUAACCAAUCUAAAUAUUCAAAAGAAAUCCAAUCCAUUAAAAUCAUUAAACCCAGUUCAAUUAGCAGGGCCCAUGCUAGCAUAACUAUGGCCAUGCUAACAGCCGUAGCAAGGUCGCAGGAUCAGAUGUUGUCGAGCAGAUGAGAUGGUAAUUGAGGUAACGGAGAUGACGACUUACCAGGCAAAAAAUCAUAUAUUUUUUUUGUCGGGUUUCAUUUCAUUUCAAAAGGAUCAUAAUGUGUUUUAUGGGGUCAUCUGGUGCAAUAGUAUGAUCCUAUAGUAUUAUGGCAUACUCCUCCGCAGAUGCCUGGUUUUAGGCACUCAUCAAUAUCUGCAGCAACAUCAUACUUUAGUGAUACAGAAAUUAACAAAAUGAAGACGAUACCAACUGUCGAGACUUCAGUGUUUCUUCAGAUAACUAGAAAUCUCCAUGUUUAGGUGCCGUUCCAGCUCUCAGUAGUUUUUUUCUCCUUUGCGAUGAACCUAGUUUGGUUUGUAAGUUUGAUAGUUUGUUUCUCACUAGCCCUUUCAGUUUUUUUCCCCUUUUCCAUGGUUGUAAGACUCUGUAUUUUUUCCCACUCUCUCUUAAUGAGACGUGCUAUGCACAUUCUCGAAAAAAAAGAGAAAUCUCCAUGUUAAUUGGAGAGGAGAGCAAUAAAAUAAAGGAAAGUUUAUGCAAACUAGUUUAUGGAAAGUUUUUGUUUUCAUCAGUAAUCCACAGUGAAUUUCAGUUUGUCACUGUUCUUCCUAAAACGCGGACCCAAGCCCUGAUUUGUCAGUGAGAAAUCCUAUUGCACGGCUGGAAAAGAACACCAUGUAGUGGCAAAAACAUAAAUUGCAUGUAAAUAAUUAAAGACAGAAAACAGUUCUAUUCUCGCAUCCAUUGUCUUAUUCCCGUACGUUAGUGAUAGUAGAAACGCGUGAUGUUUCAGGCAUUGUUCAGUGAAGUAUGACAAAAGUCAAAAUAAGGAAAAAAAAGAUUCUACCUCUGCGGAAAGCCUAAUAGUUUAAGAGAUCUGACAUGCAAGAGUUAGUACUGAGUUGUGAGUAUUUUCUCUUCAGUAGCUUAAUGAUUUUUCAGGCAUGGACUUGAUUCAUGCAUCAUAUAACACUGUCUCCGAAGAAUGUUAUAAACUUGAAAAUGUCAGAAAAAUUACGACCUAGAGCAUAAUAUGAAUCUCCAAGACCAAACGAUAAAGAUCUCUAUUGUUGAGAAUGGUUAGGAUAAAUAAUGAUCUCCAAGACCAAACGAUAAAGAUCACUAUUGUUGAGAAUGCGCGCGCGCACAGACACACACGCAGAGAGGGAGGGAGGGAGGGAGCGAACCUUGACAGCCAUUCGAUGUAUGUGGAUUCCCAUUAAAGCCUGGCAUACAUUUGCCUCCUGACAGGUCAGAUUGGCAGCAGCCCAUUGCACAGAGGAUGGUUCCCCCGAACCGAUAUAGAGGGGGGUUCCUUUGGUCCAGAUCGGGCGUGGGCUGGAGAUUCAUGGACUCUGUCGUCCUCAUCAGUCGUCAGGCAGGCGCGGGAGGCCGCCAUGCUGGAGGCUGGACGGCGAGUGUUCGCCGGUCGACGGCGCGGGAUACCUCACCGCUUCAUCGUUGCAAGACAUGCUCGCCCGAAAAGUAGGCCCGGGCAGGGAGAUUGGCCGGCCGGCUGGCUUCGGCAGCUGCGCGAGGUGGCCGGCCGUCGGCAAGCACUUCAAAUAUGAGCUCAGCAGCAGGGCGAACCAUGAAGCUAGAAAAAGGCCAAUCAGACGAGCGUCUCCAAAGAUCUCAAAUCACGAAUCACGGCCGGGUUAGGGGAUGCGAUCGAGAAAAAAUGCGUUGGAUUAGGGAGAAAUUAAAGGCCGAGUUCGAUUUUAUUUUGGGAAGAGGGAGGACUCCAAUCGGACCGAAUGGAGAAUCGGACAUGUGUCAUCACCAAGGAACGUGCAAAGAGUCAUUGGCAGUUGGCACUGCCGGCGCGGCGGCGGUGGCUACACACUGACCGGAGAAGUCGACUCCGGUACGGGCGCGCGGCCACCACCUCGAGGAGAGCCGAAUUCCUCGGGUGCUGGAGCGCCCUUACUUUCAGUUGCGCUCGGCAAGCCACGUGCCUUGGAGUGCGGUGGCGCCGGUGCCGUCGCCGCUCCAUCGCCGUCCGCACGCGCGGCCCGUGGCUACAUCUUCAAUCGGCGACGAACAGCAUCCCCGAACGAACUAUGGCCACGGGCGCCAAGUGUGGGGCGGUGCGUGAACCUGGCGGAAGCAAUGCCCGGACGCGACCUCGCCGGUACCGAUGCCGCCGCCGGCGGAAUAUUUUCAGGAAGACCCCUGGAUCGCGAUUAAAAUUUACACAUAACCCCCUAAUUCGGAUCGCGAUCAAUACUUGUGAUCCGAUUAUUUGCAAUUAGAACCCUAGAUUUUGCAUAUAGCUCCCUGGUUGGGUUCCUCUGCUUACGGCUUACCACCGUCUUCCCCGGCGGAAUCGAGUAGCCCCGUCGCCCCGUCCCGGCUACCAGUCCCUCGCUCAAGCCCGCGCCGGAGCUGCGGCCUUGCGGGCAGGUCGAAAAAACGGCGGCGAGCGUCCGCCGGCCGACGGCGCGGGAGACCUCCGCUUCAUCGUUCAAGCUCGCCCGAUCAGUAGGCUCGGACAGGGAGACUGGCCGGCCGGCUGUCUUCGGCAGAUGUGCGCGGUGGCUGCCGGCUCGAACCACGUCGCCGUCUUCGCCGCCGGCGCCCACCUGCCUCCUGCUCCAGGUUUGCAACUAAUAACGCAGGUCCCAGCGAACGAUGGAUCAGAGAGCAUGUUUUGCCGCAUGUUCAUGGUUCAGAGUUGAGAGACUGCAGUAGCAUUGCAGCAUCAGACAACUCCUAAUUUCAGUGGAAAUUAAUUUAAAAAUCAAACCUCCUCUGCGUAUGGAAGUUCAUCGUUACUCUGUUUCAGAGUUGAGAUUAGCCAUGCAUUCAAGCAUCAGGCGCUCCUAUUUUCAGUAGUAGAAGUUAAAUUAGAUUCAAACCAUGUUUAUUGCUGCCGUUUGUGUUGAGAUCGAUGAUGGAUCUUUGUGCCUGAAUCUACAGACUUAUGCUGGAAGGAACAGACUGUUACUUUGCAAUUUCCUCUGCCUAUAUGAAAGUUACUGAACCGAAUGCGAUUAACAGCUUGCGAAAACGAAGUGAAUUCAUGCACAAUCUACGUAUCUAUUGUUUGGAGAGACAAGUAUUGCACUGAUCUUUUUACCUGCCGAUGUUUACUGCUAAAGGCUAUUCAGUGGAUGUUCUUGCCCAUCAAGUACUCCUGACACUGCAGCUGAACAGCGAGCACUGCAGCAAACUCCGUGUUCGACGACGCGAUGCCACGCUGUGCGGGGGAACUCCGGGUCUCCGGCGCCUACGCCACGCUCGCACGGCAGCCGCGCCACGUUCUGCUCUCUCGGGGGAAAGGCCGGCCUGCCCGGUAGUGCACCGGCGGCGGAGCCGUCGCCGCGCCACCGCCGCCCGCGGACGCGGCCGAGCGUGGGGCCGGGGGCUACAUCAGAUGAUCACUGCCGUUUGCGUUGAGGCUGAUGAUGGAUCUUGUGCCUGAAUCUACAGAUGUAGUGCUGCGAGUACAUCAGGCCAGGAACCUUCAGAUUUCAGGGAUCGGUAAGACAAAUUGCAGAAACUGACAGCGGGUAGUAAGACAAAUUGCAGAAACAGAUUUGUUAUACCUCUGAACUUUUUGUUUUUUCAUUUUGCGUACACGCACUCUGCGGUUCAGUUAAACGGCAACUACAUAUGCAGAGCACUAGAGCUACGCUAGUGUUAGUUGGAGUGUCAUUCAAGAAGGCACUUGGCCGCAAAUUGAGGUGAGCAUGGCUCGGCCUUUUUUUCUUCCAUUCCAAAGUGAUGUCAUCAAAACAAUAACGUGUGAUGUUCUUUGGCAAAAAAAAAAGGAAAGGAUUCACGUGACAGUUUGAAAAAGGCAGCGAUUCGGCAUAAUCCGGUAUGCAAAUUCAAAUUGCCAAUUGGUUUGAAGCGCGGGGACCAGUACGGACUUUUAAAUAGUGAAAACAAAGAGCAAAUUUGAAUAUGAACCUAGACUUCAAGGCUGAGGCCGGCCGGCCGCCGGCAGGCGUGCUCAUGCACAUUCCUGAUCGUUGGUCCUUCGCCAGGCAAAGCAGCGAACACGGAACACCUGGUGCCCGACCGCCGGCGAGAAGCCUAACGAGGCAGCAAGCGAGCGAAGACGAUGCCAUUGAGGUCAGCCGUGUGUCGCGUGUGUACCUUCCCUGUGCGGACGCGCUGCGCGCGGCCAUGGAGGCGAGUGCGUGGCGAAGACGAAGGCGAACGUUAUCCCGGCGUGCGCGCGCCACCUGGGUCACGUGGCGUCACGGCGGCGCACGCGAGCAGGGGGUUAGGUGAUGGCGCGUGGCACCACAGCGCGCACAGGUUAGAUGCGCGCGUCGACGGGCGACACCGGGUACAGCCGCAUGGACUCUGCGAUGGCGUCGUGGAGGUCGUAGCGCAUGUCGCGCAUCGGCGUAUGCGAUGCAUGCAGCCGGUCCAAUCUGAACGGAGACGCGUCCUCUCGUCGCUCGCGGCGAAGCUCGCAGGACGCAGGAAGUCGACGCUUACUGGCAGGCCGGCGCGGCGGCGCUCCGGCGAGCCACGGCAUGCAGCGGAGGUGGCGUCGACGACCAGGGUCCAGGGGACGGGUGGACGGUAUUUCAAAUACCGUCCGCCCCCUGGGUCACUUUACGCCGUUGGAUCGAGCACGUGCGGUCCGGAUCGGGCGAGGUCUGCACAGGCAGGGGCACGGUCGUCCUGGUUAGUCGUCAGGCAGGCGCGAUGCUGGAGGCCGGACGGGGACGGCGGCGGCACGGCGGGUGUGCUCGGGCUCGGCGGCGAGUGACCGCCGGUCGACGACGCGGCGAGACCUUGCCGGCCGCUUCAUCGUUUGAGAGAAGCUGGCCCGAUCAGGUCUGGGCAAAGCGUGUCCAUGGCCCCGGGCACGGAGAUGGCCAGCCAGCCGGCUUCGCCAGAUUGCCGCACGCGGCCGCCGUCUCGAACCACGUCGCCGUUUUCGCCGGCGGCGACCUGCCUCCUUGUCCAAGCUUGCAACGCAGGGUCCAGGGCGAUGGAUCAGAGAAUGUGGCUGCCUGACAGACAGCAGCAAAGACAGAGUGUUUUGCAUGUACGUAGUUCAGAGUUUGGGAUUGGCUGCACUGCAGCAUCAGACACUUCAAAUUUCAGUAAAAGCUAUAUUAAGCCAUACUUAUCGCUACCUUUUUGUGUUGAGGCCGAUGAUGGAUCAUCUUUGUGCCUGAAUCCACAGUUGUAGUACCAGGGCAGGAUGUCAAAACUUGCUGCGAGAAAUACAGUCCAGGAACACAGAGCCUUCAGAUUUGAGAUCAUAGACUGUUAACACAAAUCAGAGCAACUGACAGUGGGUGGUAACAUCUCAAGAAAAGACAGUAAAAUACCAUGUGCUCGCAGCCUCGCACUAGUGCAGCAGGAGAUGGCGGAAUUUGCGAAUUUGCAGGACUUGGUCCAAACUGUCGAGCUAAAUGAUCAGGAAGAUGACAGGAUAUUUUGGAAAUGGACGACAAAUGGAAAAUACACGUCCAAAUCAGCAUAUCAUGCACAGCUGAAAGGAAUGUACUGUUCAUUUUCCAGCAAUAGCAUUUGGACUGCACAUGUGGAAUAUAAACACAGGAGAAAGGGUAUUAACAGCGGACAAGAUGAUGCAAAAAACUGGGAGUGUGAACCAACAUGCAAGCUUUGUGACCAAGAAAACGAAACGGCUCUGCACUUGUGCCUCCUAUGGAUGUUGGUGUCCAACUGGACGGGAAGGAAGGUUCCCAUUCCUGGAGAUGGGUAUGAAUCAACCGAGCAAUGGUGGACACAAACAAUGGCCAAUAUCAGUAGGAAGCAGCGGAGAUCAUUGGCGGCCUACUGCAUCAUAACGGCAUGGAAUAUAUGGAAUGAGCGCAACAGGAGGAUCUUUGAAAAUAAAUUCCUAUCGCCUAUGCAGCUGCUUCUUCGCAUUCAGGAGGACAUAAACAUCAGGAAGCAAGCGUGCGGGAAGCCUGGGCUGGAAUAGAGUCUCUUUAGUUUUUUUUCAUGAAUGAGUCAUUUGAGCCUGUAUCUUUUUUAUGUAUCAUCGACUUAACUGUAACCGCAAACUUCUACCUCCUUAUAUGAAUUAGCAGCACUCCUGCUCCUUUUCAAAAAAAAAUUCGUUUUCCAUUUUGUGUACAGUCAUGAGUUAAACGGCAACUGCAACUGUGUGCAAGCAAUUGCAUGUGCAGAGGUAAGGCAGUGUUAGUUGGGAGUGCCAUUCAAGAAGACAUUAGGCACUCUUCGUGUUGGUCUUUGGUAAAAAGAAACAGAUUCUAGAUCCACAUGGCAGUUUGGAAAUUAAGCAACUCGGCUCGGUACACAAAAUUAACCAAUUUAGGAUCCAGAAAAGGUUCAAAUAAACACAUUGCCCAUCGAUUCGAAGCACGGAACAUGUACGGUCAUCGGGCUGUUUCUGUCACAUUUCGGAUAGUAAUAAAGAAAAAAAAGAGCAAAAUUGCAAUAUGAACCUAGACUUCUGUUAUUUCAUUCUAAGGUAGGUUGAGGGAGGUUACAAACGUCAGUCAGCUAGUAGGUUGACCAAGAGGAAAGGCAGUGUGCUGGAAGAUUGAAUUUAACAUGGCAGCAGCUUUACCAAAUUCCAAAUAUUUUUUGUUUCUCCUUGCUCAUUCAAGGUUUUUUUUUGUUUCUCCCUUGCUCAUUCAAGCUCAAAUUCUAAAAGUAUAUACACGAUUUUACGCCCUAUCCAUUUAUAUUUUGGUUGGAAAUUUGGAUGCAAACGGGCUGGUAACACCGGAGGCGUUCACGUUUUGCAAACUGUAACGUUGGGCUUGGGCCUAGCUUUGAGUCCUUCCAAGUUACGUGGGUUAGACCCGCUUACGCUUUCUCUGGGCUCACUUGUACACAUUUCCCUGGCCUGGGCUCUGUUUCUUAUACAGGAGGUGAAUUGACUGAUCUCCUCCAAUGUUGUUGUCACGAGGAUACAAAUGCGAGCGGUUGUUUGGUUUCCCGGAAAUUUGCGACAGCGGAUUUAUAUUUGUUGAUGCGCAUAUGCAUGCCAUCCUGAGAUCACGAGGAAGGAUGACAGGGCCGGCGACACUCUCUCUUCUCUGACCAGAGAACUUGUGAGGUGAGCAAGCAGAUCCGUUGGUAGACCCGAUGCCGGCCGACCAAAGUGGCCUCCCGCUGCACGAAGGGCUGACGUCAAGUACAUGCCGCCCAUGGCCUUCCCGCUGUACCAAAGGGCUGACGACCCCAGGCCUGGUCCUUGCUUGCUCUGGCCGAUGAAUCCGCUGCCGAUCUUGUUUGUCUGAAUCUUGACAGCGAUGCACCGGCGAGAGUGGUCAGUGGUCACAGCGUGAGCAGCCAACCCUCGUCUCAGCCAUACGAAUUCCUGCCCCACCUAUCCAUCCAUCAAGUUAUCAGGAUCGGCCUGAAUGUUGUUGCUACAGUCCCAGUGGCUUUUCUCCUUUUUUGAUUCUCUAGUGAUGGAGCCUCAGAUUUGCGUGUGCUACCCUGUAUCACUUUGUCUGAAUGGACAGGCGGCAACCUCCGCGACACUACAGUUUACAGCACGUGUCGUGUUUUUUUUUUUGGAACUAGCUUCUUCAUUCAUUCAGAAUCCAGAUUACAAUCCUCUUGUUCUUGUAGAGGUCGCAACAAGAAGCUAGGGGGUUCUCUAUCCAAACUUCAGUACUAGUAGAACUAGCAUGCUUAGCACAAACAUGGGCGACAACAUUAGACGAUGAACCAUAUUAAAAGAGGUAAAAGACGUCACGACUUCCUGAAUCUCACGCAAAAUCGUUGCAAUCUCCGAUCUGUGGUUGUGUUCGGCCAGUCCUCCAGCUCUGAAGAAAACUGGGGGCAACCACCACGGAAUGCUGGAACUGCAGGUAAAGUGCGGGCUAGUUGAGUACCCUGCGGUACGAGUGAACUGUGAAGCACGAAAGAUUCUCCAGCUUCAUAUCAUAACAGUCACGCCGUCCAACCACCUGGCGAGAAUCAGAACCACAAUGCCACACAGCAAAUCACAACCAACCAGAUCAGGCAUCUCAUUCUUUCCAACUAACCACCAGUAGGGAACCAGCAAAACGAUGAGCCGCGAAGAUGCUUUGCUCUCUGCCAGCAAUCUGUCGACCGCUUAAGGGCCAGAAGAGCUAACUGAAGCACGUAAAAGGACCGACAAAAAAUGCAGGAAAAAAAAUCAGUGACUCAGUUCGCAAAAAAUGAGAAUUGCAGUAGACUGCAGCAAGGAACACAGAAGCGGGACAAAACAUGAAACUAUUAUUUCCAAAGACGCAAAGCUCAUCUAUGCAACCAAACCGACUAAACACAGCAAAAUUACAACCGAACCGUUCAUAUUCUUCACAACCAGAAACUAAACUCAGGUCCCAUAUUAGCAACUUCGUUACAUGAAGGUAGCAAGCAGGUAGGAAAAGCAAAAGGCAACUCAUGUCCCAACUUAGCAUGAAUCCUGGCGUCCGGAGGCACACCAUUUCACAUUUUAUUCUCUGCAUAGACAAGCAGCGGGGCCGUUCCACGACCGCAAAGGCCUAGGGAAGGAACCAUGGAGCGGAGAUGACGCUCUACUGGGUCUUGAACAUGUGGCGGAUCAGGUCGACAACACGGUUGCUGUAGCCCCACUCGUUGUCGUACCAGGAGACAAGCUUGACGAAGUUGUCGUUCAGAGCAAUUCCA
This 21047-nucleotide long non-coding RNA is filed under the name Setaria viridis. Its description in RNAcentral is "long non-coding RNA (SVIR_LNC006401)". Lineage: Eukaryota; Viridiplantae; Streptophyta; Magnoliopsida; Poales; Poaceae. The record is from RNAcentral.